RNAcentral lists this ribosomal RNA (497 nucleotides) under uncultured bacterium. RNAcentral's name for it is "partial 16S ribosomal RNA". It matches the Rfam family "Bacterial small subunit ribosomal RNA", at positions 28 to 507 of the family's 1533-position model. The record is from RNAcentral.
GAUGAACGCUGGCGGCGUGCCUAAUACAUGCAAGUCGAGCGAACAGACGAGGAGCUUGCUCCUCUGAUGUUAGCGGCGGACGGGUGAGUAACACGUGGAUAACCUCCCUAUAUGACUGGGAUAACUUCGGGAAACCGGAGCUAAUACCGGAUAAUAUAUUGAACCGCAUGGUUCAAUAGUGAAAGACGGUUUUGCUGUCACUUAUAGAUGGAUCCGCGCCGCAUUAGCUAGUUGGUAAGGUAACGGCUUACCAAGGCAACGAUGCGUAGCCGACCUGAGAGGGGGAUCGGCCACACGGGAACUGAGACACGGUCCAGACUCCUACGGGAGGCAGCAGUAGGGAAUCUUCCGCAAUGGGCGAAAGCCUGACGGAGCAACGCCGCGUGAGUGAUGAAGGUCUUCGGAUCGUAAAACUCUGUUAUUAGGGAAGAACAAAUGUGUAAGUAACUAUGCACGUCUUGACGGUACCUAAUCAGAAAGCCACGGCUAACUACGUG